This 73-nucleotide transfer RNA is filed under the name Ovis aries (sheep). It matches the Rfam family "tRNA". Rfam says of the family: Transfer RNA (tRNA) molecules are approximately 80 nucleotides in length. The record is from Rfam by way of RNAcentral. Lineage: Eukaryota; Metazoa; Chordata; Mammalia; Artiodactyla; Bovidae.
UCCCCGAUGGUCCAGUGGCUAAGACUCCACGCUUCUACUGCAAGGGGCAUGGGUUCCAUCCCCGUUUGGGGAA